AGAAAUCCAACGAGAGGUCAGUGAGUGGUUCAAGAAACAAGCCGAAGAAAAAAAAAGCAAGGGAGAUGGAGCCACCGCCAGUAAGUCGGCGAGAUUUAAACUUUUUUAUCAGGAUGGAAGAAGGAGCCAAGAAAAGGAUACCACUCUUAUCAAACUAUGAACGGGCUUUAGUAAAGGCUGAUGAAAAGGAUAAAAGGAAAGGAAAGUCAUCUUCCAGCGGUCCUGUCCCCGACCUCAGCCAUUUAUCAAAAAAAGAUGCUCAACGGGUAAAAGCAAUGCCCUUGGAUCAACAAGCAAAUGUAUUGAAGUUCAUGGAAGAAACAGGUCUGGGACUUGAUGAAUGCAUAGGGCAAGUUGAGACGCCAACUGCACCGCCCCCUGAGCCGAG
Molecule: long non-coding RNA, 388 nt
Filed under: Setaria viridis
Lineage: Eukaryota; Viridiplantae; Streptophyta; Magnoliopsida; Poales; Poaceae
Description: long non-coding RNA (SVIR_LNC009794)
Source: RNAcentral